This 875-nucleotide ribosomal RNA is filed under the name uncultured organism. RNAcentral's name for it is "bacterial SSU rRNA". It matches the Rfam family "Bacterial small subunit ribosomal RNA", at positions 594 to 1477 of the family's 1533-position model. The record is from RNAcentral.
GUUAAAGCCCCGGGCUCAACUCGGGGAGGUCGUUCAAUACGGCGGAACUUGAGGGCAGCAGAGGGAGACGGAAUUCCCGGUGUAACGGUGAAAUGCGUAGAUAUCGGGAGGAACACCAGUGGCGAAGGCGGCCUCCUGGGCUGCUCCGGACGCUGAAGGCGAAAGCUAGGGGAGCGAACGGGAUUAGAAACCCCGGUAGUCCUAGCCGUAAACGAUGGAUGCUGGGUAUGGGGGGUAUAGAUUCCCUCCGUGCCGAAGCUAACGCGUUAAGCAUCCCGCCUGGGGACUACGGCCGCAAGGCUAAAACUCAAACGAAUUGACGGGUCCCCGCACAAGCAGCGGAGCGUGUGGUUUAAUUCGAUGCUACACGAAGAACCUUACCUGGGUUUGACAUGCAAGUAGUAGUGAAGCGAAAGCGGAACGACCCUUCGGGGAGCUUGCACAGGUGCUGCAUGGCAGUCGUCAGCUCGUGCCGUGAGGUGUCGGGUUAAGUCCCGUAACGAGCGCAACCCUUGCCCUUAGUUAUACGUGUCUAAGGGGACUGCCCGGGACAACUGGGAGGAAGGUGGGGAUGACGUCAAGUCAGCAUGGCCAUUAUAUCCAGGGCGACACACACGCUACAAUGGCCGGUACAAUGGGUUGCCAAGCCGUGAGGCGGAGCCAAUCCCGCAAAGCCGGUCUAAGUUCGGAUUGUGGGCUGCAACUCGCCCACAUGAAGCUGGAGUUGCUAGUAACCGCGCGUCAGCCAUAGUGCGGUGAAUACGUUCCCGGGGAUUGUACACACCGCCCGUCACGUCAUGGAAGCUGGCAACACACUAAAGCACGGUAUGCUAACCACGAAAGGGAAGCCGCCGUCUAAGGUGGGGCUGUAACUG